ACACACCAGAGCUCAGCCACUCUCGCAGUUUAGAGGUACGGUACUGUACCCACAUCCAGUUUGGUUCCUUUCAGCUGCAGGGUGCCAACGGUAACGUCAUGAAAGAAAACCAGACACCAGCACACUGCCGAAUGGUUCCACAGUCCAUCAAAAGGUAAAUCUUAACAUCUAUUUAAGAUUAAUUUGGACUCUGUCUCCAACUGACCUCAAUGCAUAUUACAUUUUUACUUAAAUGGAAGUUGGAAUUCACUCCCAAAUGCAUCAUUGCACUUGAACUGCAAGAGAAUUCAGCAGUGUACUGGUGUCUACUUUUCUUUCUUCCCUCUCGCUCACACAGAUACAUGCAGACACAGGUAGAACACCCUCAAGCCAAUGGACAGUCUAAAUCAGACACACAUCAGAUUUCACAAUGUUUUAGAUUCAGUUUGUGCAGCUGCAAAGAGAUGACCUAGUUUAGAUCAGCAAAAAAAAAUGCAGACAUUAUGAAUCAGUUGGUUUUAAUACACUGUUCACGAGCCGGUCUCUCUGAGGAAAAGGCAUGUAUCAGAAUUUCCAGUUUCCUACUAUAACAGGAGACAAGCAGGUAGACUUAAAAAUUGACACUUUAAGAGUAAAAGUGUUGCAAGUUUGGAGUCAAACUGAAGUCAAUAUUUGAAAAAAGAUACUCUAUUUUAAAUUACUUCACUUCUAAUUUAACCCACCUGCAGAGUAUUGUUAAGGAAUGUUUGGAGGGGAAAAAAACAUGUUAUGCACAUUAAAAUCUAAAAUGUCCAACUCAGCAAAGAAACAAUUUGGGAGUACAGGCAAAUGCCACAUUACAAUGAAGCUGCACAGAGAGAACAGAGUGCAAGAAAGCAUGUUUGCAAUCAAUUAAGUACACUUCAAGACUUUAUAAUAGACCUGGUAAAUAAAACUAAAACUUAAAUUCUGAUGAAAGAAAAUGGCUGUAAAAGUGAAAAUACAACCAAUAACCACACAAAUAUUUACAGUAAAUAAUAAUACAUUUAAAAACAUUACAAGUCCAACAGCUUUAUCCCCCUCUGUACUUCUUCAUACAACUCUGCUUCCCAGGCAUAUCAGAAACUUGAUGAGGCCAUUUACUAGGAUUAGCAGUUUUAUUGACUGUGUUCAGGUGUUCUGAGUGUAGUGGUCCCCAACCCUGGUUCUGGAGAGCUGCAGAGUGUGUGAGCUUUUACUACGGCUUUGAAUUGACACGUGUCCUGUUCAAAUAAGCAGUAAAUUAAAUCAACCAAGGUUGUUAUAGCUGGGCUGGAACAAAACCAUGCACCUCCUGUACAUCCUCCAGACCCGGGUGGGUGACCGAGGGCCUUUCAGACCUGAAUGUCAAUCUCUGGUGAGGCUGCCCUUCUUGCCCGUCCACAGCUCUCGGAGCUCCACCUGGCAGCCAAGGUCCCUGAGGGCAGCUUUUGCCAGGUCGCCACAGUCCCGGUGGGCCGCCAGAGCCUGGGCGAUGAGGGCCUCUGCUCCCAUCUCCAGGAUGGGCUGGUUGAAGACAUACUCCAUACCAACCUGAAGGACCUCAUGCUCCUCUGUUUGGUGAUCACCUGCUGUCGGCACAGUUUUCACUAUACAGCUGAGGUCAACCCCUGGGGAAUAUGGAGGAAAAACAGAGAAGGGAGAUUCAUCCAGGAUCAGGGGGUUUAUCUUAUACAUUGCAUAUCAUAUGGUUGAGUUACAGUAGGCGUGCAUGUUGCUCCUACAAUGUCAGAUUCAGAUCAAAUCAUGUAACGUUAGUAUACCUUGAGACUCAAACUGUUCUACCGCUUCUCUUAAGGCCUCCGCAGUGUCCAUGUCGAAAUCAUCGAUGUUUUCCUUGACCACCGCAUCGAAGGUCUCCUGCGUGAUCCUGCGACAGGCCAUGUCUGCAACGCUCAACUCAACUCGAAGAGAUGAAGACCAAGACUGAAAUGCAAUUAAACGAUUGCAAAAUCAGAAAGGACCCAACAUAGUCUACUCCAACAUGAUUAUUGUUGUGGGCUGUGUGUUGCUGGUGACACAAACGUCAGAUAACAACCGCCUGCUUAAAGAUAGCACGCGUACUAGCUAGCUACACCCCUAGCUAGCUAGCUCAACUUAGCCAUCAGCACACAAAGAUAGAUACCGGUAUCUAGCGAACUAUUUUUCAGAUAGCCGAGAUGCUUUAAGAAGACGUUUAGACAUACGUUUCUAAUAUGUUAACUUAGAAUAUAAUUACCGGGAACUUCACAAAAUAACAGAUCAUGUAUCACUUACCACCGCCCAGUGGAUGUGCUGCUGAUAAUGGGCACGUUUGAGUGGUAAGGUAACCGACUAAAUAAAUGUCGUGUGGGGUGGGGGGGUAGAACAGACAUAGUCUGUCCAGAAAAGACUAUGGGAGUCACACAGUACUACAUAGAUAGAUUCAUGGAUACAAGGAACUCUAUUCCACAUAAGGUAACUGAUGCAAGCAGGAAAAAUCCGAUAAAAAUACACCUUAUGGAACAGCAUGGACUGUGAAGAGAAACCCUUACACCGUAAUAAUGUUGUAGAGUGGUAUCAUACAUUUUGUGUUGUGGAUAUCUGGUGGUGUGACUGUUAUAUGAAGUACCGUUUUGUUUUAUGUGUAAUAUAAAUGUCAAUGUGUUUGGACCUCAGGAAGAGUAGCUGCUGCCUUGAACGGAGUCAAAAAUGUGGUUUCUAUAUGUUUGAAACCAUGCCACCCUACUCUGCUCUAGCUAUUACCACGAGCCCAUCCUCCCCGAUUAAGGUGCCACCAACCUCUUGUGAUUCCUUCGUUUGACAUGGUGGGAUCUUUUUUGUGUCAGUAAAAUGAAUGGCGGCAGAAGCACCUUUAUGAGCAAGUAUUGAUAUAAUAACCAUUAUAUUGAAGUAAACUUGGAUUUUUAAAUGUAUUUCAAAUGUAACCUUUAUUUAACUAGGCAAGUCAGUUAAGAACACAUUGUUAUUUACAAUUAGGGCCUAGGAACAGUGGGUUUAACUGCCUUGCUCAGGGGCAGAAUGACACCAUAUGUUGUGUAAUCAUCCCACCACGACUAGGGAAACCAUGCAGUUUAUUAGGCUACAGAUUAAAUAAUUCAUGAAGAAUUUAACAGGGUGGUGAAAAUGCAAGGUGAGCUUGAUGCUUUUCCCACCACGACUUGUUGGGAAUGCAUGCAGUUUAUUAAGCCACAGAUGAAAUAAAGUUAUGAUGAACUAACUUCACAGGGUGCUGAAAGUGCAAGGUGAUGAGCUUAAUGCUUUUUUCCAAUAUAUAUUGAGGGUCUGAUUCUGGUGACAUGAUGUUUGAUGCUGUUUUGACUGCUGUUUGACAAAUAUUCUUGCUCUUAUCCAUAAUAAUUUCAUCAUGUAGGCUAUACGUGCGCUCUAGCCAACAGCGCUCAGAUACCGCUGUUGGCUAGCGCACACUUGCCAAUACCAGAGUGGACACACUCGCUAUAUAAUGCAAACAUUUUUUUGUGAGAAAACAAUCAGUAGAGUUGAAAAUGCGAGGGAAACCCAUUUAACUUGUAUGUUUUUUUUCGGUACAUGAGAAUUUAACAGCAAAAUGUAUUUUUGUGUGUACUAUGUCAUCACGUACAGGAUUUGAUCUGCAACAGGUCAAUAUGAUGGAAACAUCUCUGGUGGGAAAAUGUGCACAUUGUUUUUAUGCAGAUUUUUGAAUAAUUGCAUGAAAAUCUGUCACCAAUUAAAUGGAAACCUAGAUACUAACCACGAAACAGAAAGUUUUGGUACAAUUGUAUUAUUAGGCAACAGAUUAAAUAAUUUAUUAUGAACUUUGCAGGGUGGUGAAAGUGCAAGGGGUGAUUUUGAUGCUGCUUUCCAAUAAAUAUUGAGGGUCUUAUUCUGAUGACAUGAUGAUCAAUGCUUGACAAAUAAAAACAUGAUCACUUGUA
Molecule: long non-coding RNA, 3893 nt
Organism: Oncorhynchus kisutch (coho salmon)
Lineage: Eukaryota; Metazoa; Chordata; Actinopteri; Salmoniformes; Salmonidae
Exons: 2
Source: RefSeq, a predicted model, not a curated record